Xyrichtys novacula (pearly razorfish) is the source of this 677-nucleotide non-coding RNA. The record is from the annotation of a GenBank genome assembly. NCBI's taxonomy places the organism in Eukaryota, Metazoa, Chordata, Actinopteri, Labriformes, Labridae.
GGUAAAAAUGGAGCAGACAGACAGAGAUGUAAGAUGGAGGAGGGCAAACUGUAAGUGAGGUGCAGCAGGGAGGAAGGGAGGAGGAAGGGAGGGAGGGAUCAGUCAGAAGCAAUGGAGGCUUGAGCAGGAGAGGAGCGAUGAAGGUAGGUACUGAUGCAGAAAUAGAGAUACACAUUUAAAAGAGUAAAGGACUCUAGAUAAUCUAUGGGCAUAUCUGAAUAUGUAAAUGCAGGAUAUUCCAUCUUUUAAUGAAAUAGAAUUAAAUAGAAUUUUGCACCGUAUCAACUAUAAAUGAGCAUACAGGUUGGCUUCAUAUGUCUGAAUUUUUUAAGAUGACAUUUUUGUCUGUUUCUUAGAUAAGACAGGGAUUGGACAGAGUCAGCAAUCUGGAAAAAAUGAUGAAGACAACAUGCAAGAAAAGGGCUAAAGGCUGGAGUCUGACGAGGACUGAUGCAGCAACAGCUAAGCCUCUGUGUAUGGCAUGCGUGCUUUAAACCACUGCGCCCAACCCAAACAAAUUCUUUGUAAAACUUAGUGUCUUGCACAUUUCUGCAGAGCUAUACGACUUCUGCAUCUCGUGAUUAACACGCAGAGCCAACAUUAGUUACAAUAACAAAAGAGGACAUGUGUGCAUUAUGUGCCAGAACAGAAAAUCUGAAUAAGAGGCCAUAAAAAGG